Sorex araneus (European shrew) is the source of this 71-nucleotide non-coding RNA. The record is from the annotation of a RefSeq genome assembly. NCBI's taxonomy places the organism in Eukaryota, Metazoa, Chordata, Mammalia, Eulipotyphla, Soricidae.
GCAUUGGUAGUUCAGUGGUAGAAUUCUUGUCUGCCACGCAGGAGGUCUGGGUUCAAUUCCCAGCCAGUGCA